RNAcentral lists this ribosomal RNA (309 nucleotides) under Triticum aestivum (bread wheat). RNAcentral's name for it is "partial small subunit ribosomal RNA". Lineage: Eukaryota; Viridiplantae; Streptophyta; Magnoliopsida; Poales; Poaceae. The record is from RNAcentral.
AUGGAAACACAUCGUGCGUACUGCCUACCUUGUUUUCUCUUCACAAAAAGGCCAAGUGGAAGGUUUGGCUCUGAUGCAUUCACACUCAAGGGAUUUAAUAAUUGGAAGAAGGUGAAUGAUGGAAACGAAUGUGCUUUCUUAACUCACAUGGGCAAAGAUUCCAACUCCGCUCAUAACUUUUCUCAGCGGUGUCAUGAUAAUCUGAAAAAUAGUUUGACUCACAUCAAUAAGUCAAUGGUGAAAGUGUGUGCAAAAAAGGUUGCAGAUGCAAGGCUAAGGCUUAAAUUUACAAUUGAUUGCAUCAAAUAA